AACUCGCCUGCAUGAAGUCGGAAUUGCUAGUAAUCGCGGAUCAGCAUGCCGCGGUGAAUACGUUCCCGGGCCUUGUACACACCGCCCGUCACACCAUGGGAGUCGGUAACACCCGAAGCCGAUAGUCUAACGAAAGAGGACGUCGUCGAAGGUGGGAUUGAUGACUGGGGGUGAAGUCGUAACAAGGUACC
Molecule: ribosomal RNA, 191 nt
Filed under: uncultured bacterium
Lineage: Bacteria
Description: partial 16S ribosomal RNA
Rfam family: Bacterial small subunit ribosomal RNA
Source: RNAcentral